Long non-coding RNA from Juglans microcarpa x Juglans regia, 317 nucleotides. RefSeq lists it as uncharacterized. Lineage: Eukaryota; Viridiplantae; Streptophyta; Magnoliopsida; Fagales; Juglandaceae. The record is from RefSeq and is a predicted model, not a curated record. The transcript is spliced from 2 exons.
GAACAUAUUUCCGUUUGGUGGAAGUGUUGCUCUAUCUCAUAUGCUCUAUCUCUCUCUCUGCUAUCUGCGAUGCCAAACGGUGGAAGUGCUUGAGCUUGAGAUCCAAGAGAUUAGAACGUAUUUCCGUUUGGGAUCCUCAGUCAAAUUACUUGAAGUUGCUAUUUGGUGUGGAGAUUAAAUCAUUGAUGGACAUGUUACUGAUUUUGCAAUUCAUAUAUUGUAAUUUUGUAUAUUGUAAUGUAAUGUAUAAAUAUCAAAUAAUGUAAUAUGUAAUGGAUUGUAUCGUGAUGCAUGCAUGGAUGAAUUUAUGCAUUUAG